RNAcentral lists this ribosomal RNA (708 nucleotides) under Actinopolyspora sp. M5A. RNAcentral describes it as "bacterial SSU rRNA". It matches the Rfam family "Bacterial small subunit ribosomal RNA", at positions 794 to 1500 of the family's 1533-position model. Lineage: Bacteria; Bacillati; Actinomycetota; Actinomycetes; Actinopolysporales; Actinopolysporaceae. The record is from RNAcentral.
UGCAUGCAAUAAACGUUGGGCGCUAAAUAUGGAGACCGGGUGAUGUAGUCGGUUCCGUAGAUAACGCAUUAAGCGCUCCUCCUGGGGAGUACGGCCGCAUGGCUAAAGCUCAAAGUAAUUGACGGGGGCCCGCACAAGCGGCGGAGCAUGUAGAUUAAUUGGAUGCAACGCGAAGAACCUUACCUGGGUUUGACAUACACCGGAUCGCUCCAGAGAUGGUGUUUCCUUUCGGGGCUGGUGUACAGGUGGUGCAUGGCUGUCGUCAGCUCGUGUCGUGAGAUGUUGGGUUAGGUCCCGUAACGAGCGCAACCCUUGUCCCGUGUUGCCAGCGGUGCGGCCGGGGACUCGCGGGAGACUGCCGGGGUCAACUCGGAGGAAGGCGGGGACGACGUCAAGUCAUCAUGCCCCUCAUGUCCAGGGCUUCACACAUGCUACAAUGGCCGGUACAGAGGGUGGCGAGACCGUGAGGUGGAGCGAAUCCCGGAAAGCCGGUCUCAGUUCGGAUCGGGGUCUGCAACUCGACCCCGUGAAGUCGGAGUCGCUAGUAAUCGCAGAUCAGCAAUGCUGCGGUGAAUACGUUCCCGGGCCUUGUACGCACCGCCCGUCACGUCAUGAAAGUCGGUAACACCUUUUAGCGGGGGUCCAACCCGGUUGGGGGGGCGUGGUCGAAGGUGGACUGGGCGAUGGACGAAGUCGUAUCAGAGCCGC